AGAGUUUGAUCCUGGCUCAGGAUGAACGCUGGCGGCGUGCCUAACACAUGCAAGUCGAGCGAGAAACUCAUGACGGAAGCUUCGGUUGAAGUCAUGGGUGGAAAGCGGCGGACGGGUGAGUAACGCGUAGGCAAUCUGCCCUUUGCAGAGGGAUAGCCUCGGGAAACCGGGAUUAAAACCUCAUGAUGCCAUGUGAAGACAUCUUCAUAUGGUCAAAGAUUUAUCGGCAAAGGAUGGGCCUGCGUCUGAUUAGCUGGUUGGUGGGGUAACGGCUCACCAAGGCGACGAUCAGUAGCCGACCUGAGAGGGUGAUCGGCCACAUUGGAACUGAGACACGGUCCAAACUCCUACGGGAGGCAGCAGUGGGGAAUAUUGCACAAUGGGGGAAACCCUGAUGCAGCAACGCCGCGUGAAGGAAGAAGGCCCUUGGGUCGUAAACUUCUGUUCUGAGGGAAGAAAGUGACGGUACCUCAGGAGCAAGUCCCGGCUAACUACGUGCCAGCAGCCGCGGUAAUACGUAGGGGGCAAGCGUUAUCCGGAAUUAUUGGGCGUAAAGAGUACGUAGGUGGUUACCUAAGCACGGGGUAUAAGGCAAUGGCUCAACCAUUGUUUGCCUUGUGAACUGGGCUACUUGAGUGCAGGAGAGGAAAGCGGAAUUCCUAGUGUAGCGGUGAAAUGCGUAGAUAUUAGGAGGAACACCAGUGGCGAAGGCGGCUUUCUGGACUGUAACUGACACUGAGGUACGAAAGCGUGGGGAGCAAACAGGAUUAGAUACCCUGGUAGUCCACGCCGUAAACGAUGAGCACUAGGUGUCGGGGUCGUAAGACUUCGGUGCCGCAGUUAACGCAAUAAGUGCUCCGCCUGGGGAGUACGUUCGCAAGAAUGAAACUCAAAGGAAUUGACGGGGACCCGCACAAGCAGCGGAGCAUGUGGUUUAAUUCGAUGAUACGCGAGGAACCUUACCCGGGCUUGAAUUGCAGACGAAUUACGAGGAAACUUGUAAGCCGCAAGGCGUCUGUGAAGGUGCUGCAUGGUUGUCGUCAGCUCGUGCCGUGAGGUGUCGGCUUAAGUGCCAUAACGAGCGCAACCCUUGUCGCCGGUUACUAUCAGGUGAAGCUAAGGACUCCGGCGAGACUGCCAUCGUAAGAUGUGAGGAAGGUGGGGAUGACGUCAAAUCAGCACGGCCCUUACGUCCGGGGCUACACACGUGUUACAAUGGGGGGUACAGAAGGCCGCUACCCGGCGACGGGAUGCCAAUCUCCAAAGCCCCUCUCAGUUCGGACUGGAGUCUGCAACCCGACUCCACGAAGCUGGAUUCGCUAGUAAUCGCGCAUCAGCCACGGCGCGGUGAAUACGUUCCCGGGCCUUGUACACACCGCCCGUCAAGCCAUGAAAGCCGGGGGUACCUGAAGUGCGUAACCGCGAGGAGCGCCCUAGGGUAAAACCGGUAAUUGGGGCUAAGUCGUAACAAGGUA
This 1475-nucleotide ribosomal RNA is filed under the name metagenome. RNAcentral describes it as "bacterial SSU rRNA". It matches the Rfam family "Bacterial small subunit ribosomal RNA". The record is from RNAcentral.